This 467-nucleotide ribosomal RNA is filed under the name uncultured bacterium. Its description in RNAcentral is "partial 16S ribosomal RNA". It matches the Rfam family "Bacterial small subunit ribosomal RNA", at positions 28 to 507 of the family's 1533-position model. The record is from RNAcentral.
GAUGAACGCUGGCGGCGUGCUUAACACAUGCAAGUCGAACGAUGAAGCCCAGCUUGCUGGGUGGAUUAGUGGCGAACGGGUGAGUAACACGUGAGCAACCUGCCCCUGACUCUGGGAUAAGCGCUGGAAACGGGGUCUAAUACUGGAUAUGUCCGGUCACCGCAUGGUGUGCGGGUGGAAAGAUUUUUCGGUUGGGGAUGGGCUCGCGGCCUAUAAGCUUGUUGGUGAGGUAAUGGCUCACCAAGGCGUCGACGGGUAGCCGGCCUGAGAGGGUGACCGGCCACACUGGGACUGAGACACGGCCCAGACUCCUACGGGAGGCAGCAGUGGGGAAUAUUGCACAAUGGGCGGAAGCCUGAUGCAGCAACGCCGCGUGAGGGAUGACGGCCUUCGGGUUGUAAACCUCUUUUAGCAGGGAAGAAGCGAAAGUGACGGUACCUGCAGAAAAAGCACCGGCUAACUACGUG